GGUACUGCCGCCGGGGCGAGGCGCGGGGGGCGUGGCCUCAGCGCUAGGUUAGUCAGUCUGUAGGGAUUUCGUCUCUUCUUUCUACUCUGAAGGCUUUAGACUGAAACGUUGCUUAUCAAAAAAGACAAAAAAACAACAAAAAAAAAAAACAAACACCCAAAAAACCUGCAUCAAUAAAUGUAAUUUGAUUUUUUUUUCAUA
Pelodiscus sinensis (Chinese soft-shelled turtle) is the source of this 201-nucleotide non-coding RNA. NCBI's taxonomy places the organism in Eukaryota, Metazoa, Chordata, Testudines, Trionychidae. The record is from RefSeq and is a predicted model, not a curated record.